UGCAAGUCGAACGGUAACAUUGGUGCUUGCACCAGAUGACGAGUGGCGCACGGGUGCGUAACGCGUAUGCAAUCCACCUUUUACUGAAGAAUAGCCCAGAGAAAUUUGGAAUAAUCCUUCAUAAUAUCAUUUAUCAGCAUUGAUUUAUGAUUAAAGCUCCGGCGGUAAAAGAUGAGCAUGCGUCCUAUUAGUUUGUUGGUGAGGUAACGGCUCACCAAGACUACGAUAGGUAGGGGCCCUGAGAGGGGGAUCCCCCACACUGGUACUGAGACACGGACCAGACUCCUACGGGAGGCAGCAGUGAGGAAUAUUGGACAAUGGAGGCAACUCUGAUCCAGCCAUGCCGCGUGCAGGAUGACUGCCCUAUGGGUUGUAAACUGCUUUUAUAUAGGAAGAAACACUCCCACGUGUGGUGGCUUGACGGUACUAUAUGAAUAAGGAUCGGCUAAUUCCGUGCCAGCAGCCGCGGUAAUACGGGAGUGGCAAGCGUUAUCCGGAAUUAUUGGGCGUAAAGCGUCCGCAGGCGGCCCUUCAAGUCUGCUGUUAAAACGUGGAGCUUAACUCCAUCAUGGCAGUGGAAACUGUUGGGCUUGAGUGUGGUAGGGGCAGAGGGAAUUCCCGGUGUAGCGGUGAAAUGCGUAGAUAUCGGGAAGAACACCAGUGGCGAAGGCGCUCUGCUGGGCCAUAACUGACGCUCAUGGACGAAAGCCAGGGGAGCGAAAGGGAUUAGAUACCCCUGUAGUCCUGGCCGUAAACGAUGAACACUAGGUGUCGGGGGGAAUCGACCCCCUCGGUGUCGUAGCCAACGCGUUAAGUGUUCCGCCUGGGGAGUACGCACGCAAGUGUGAAACUCAAAGGAAUUGACGGGGGCCUGCACAAGCGGUGGAGUAUGUGGUUUAAUUCGAUGCAACGCGAAGAACCUUACCAGGGUUUGACAUCCUGCGAACCUCUUGGAAACGAGAGGGUG
This 967-nucleotide ribosomal RNA is filed under the name uncultured marine bacterium. Its description in RNAcentral is "bacterial SSU rRNA". It matches the Rfam family "Bacterial small subunit ribosomal RNA", at positions 56 to 1016 of the family's 1533-position model. The record is from RNAcentral.